AGGUAAUGUGUAGUGCGAGUAGUCAACUUUCUUAUAUCCUCUUCACGUUUAGAGUUUUUU
This 60-nucleotide unclassified non-coding RNA is filed under the name synthetic construct. The record is from RNAcentral.